AACGUAGGAGGCGAGCGUUAUCCGGAUUUACUGGGUGUAAAGCGUGUGCAGGCGGACCGGCAAGUUGGAUGUGAAAGCUCCUGGCUUAACUGGGAGAGGUCGUUCAAAACUGCCGGACUUGAGUGUGGGAGAGGGAGGCGGAAUUCCGGGUGUAGUGGUGAAAUGCGUAGAUAUCCGGAGGAACACCAGUGGCGAAAGCGGCCUCCUGGCCCAAUACUGACGCUCAGACACGAAAGCUAGGGGAGCGAACGGG
Molecule: ribosomal RNA, 253 nt
Filed under: uncultured bacterium
Lineage: Bacteria
Description: partial 16S ribosomal RNA
Rfam family: Bacterial small subunit ribosomal RNA
Source: RNAcentral